This 253-nucleotide ribosomal RNA is filed under the name uncultured bacterium. RNAcentral's name for it is "partial 16S ribosomal RNA". It matches the Rfam family "Bacterial small subunit ribosomal RNA", at positions 524 to 776 of the family's 1533-position model. The record is from RNAcentral.
UACGGGGGGGGCAAGCGUUGUUCGGAAUUACUGGGCGUAAAGGGCUCGUAGGUGGCCAACUAAGUCAGACGUGAAAUCCCUCAGCUUAACUGGGGAACUGCGUCUGAUACUGGAUGGCUUGAGAUUGGGAGAGGGAUGCGGAAUUCCAGGUGUAGCGGUGAAAUGCGUAGAUAUCUGGAGGAACACCGGUGGCGAAGGCGGCAUCCUGGACAAACACUGACACUGAGGAGCGAAAGCCAGGGGAGCAAACGGG